Molecule: long non-coding RNA, 614 nt
Organism: Dioscorea cayenensis subsp. rotundata (Guinea yam)
Lineage: Eukaryota; Viridiplantae; Streptophyta; Magnoliopsida; Dioscoreales; Dioscoreaceae
Exons: 3
Source: RefSeq, a predicted model, not a curated record
UUUUCUUCUUGUUUUCCUUCUUCGGCCGAGCAUCCAAAAUUUCGAAAAAAAAAAAUUUGUUGUCGAGUUGUUCAACAAAUCAAUACCCCUAUUCCAUUCCUCCCACUCUCUGGAGCUUGGGAAAGUAACAACUUUACAUUAUACCAAACGGGCCCUAGGUGGUGAAGCUUCCUCCCAGGGGAAGGAAAUUGCCGACCUGUGAGAGCGUCUCAAGAUGAGACGACGUGUUCAGUUGCGACGUUGGACUGGGUUGUGCUAGGCAGGCAGUGGGGUGACUUACUAUUUUUCACAUUGUUUAGGUUAGUGCAGUGUGCAUGUAAAUUUUAUGGAUGCACUAGACUCACUUUUUGUAUAUUUGUAUUUUCUGGUUGUAUUUGGAACCUGGCUGGUUCUGUAGUGGAGGUUGUUUCCCUCUUCAGUUCAUUGUGGUAGCGGGUUUGUUUUGAGCCUUACGAUGAGUAGGAGGUAGGAUGCGGCAGGGUCCACUCCUUGUUGUCGUAGCGGUUGUCACGUGCCCGUCUAGGGUCGGGGCGUGACACACACUCUACCAAAUUUUUUUUCUACAACAUUACAAAUGUAACACAUCAUAUAUGAAAUUAAAAAAAUAAACAAAA